AUGAUGCCUAAAGUUGCUGAUUUUGGUCUAUCGAGGUGCUUUGAUGAAAAACAAAGCCAGACUAUUGCUUCAAAACUGAUUGGAACUAUGGGAUAUGUGGCACCAGAAUUCUAUGCGUGCAGGAACAUCACAUUCAAGUUAGACAUAUAUAGUCUUGGCAUGAUAAUCACAGAGAUACUAACAGGAGAGAAGGGAUAUGCUGAUAUUGACAAUGUAAGACGUGUCCACGUGAUGGCAAUUUCGCAGGUACUUGAGAAGUGGAAAAGUAGGUUGGAUCAAUCACAGGCAGACACACAACUGGUACAAGUACAAGUAUGCGCUGAGAUAGUAAUAGAGUGCACCGACUUUAACCCAGCAAAAAGACCAGAUACACAGCAUAUAAUGGAUAGACUUGGUACAACAAAAAGUGCAGAUGAGUCUGCUACUGAAACUGGGGCAAAAAUCCAGGUAAUUAAGCUUAGACAAAAAUCCACUGUGCCCCCUUGUCCCACAAUUGAUCCCAAGAAUACGAUGGUUGAUGCAUUGAAGAUAUCGACAAAAGAACUGUACAAGAUGGCAUAUCAAAACACAUGUUUCAGCUCCACGCCACACAAUGCCUCUAAUAUGCAGCAAGAUACUGACAGAAGAGAAACAGCAUCAGAUGUGGAAGAAGCACUGAUUGUCGGGAGAACUGAAGAAAAACAGAAAAUAGUGGCUACUUUAUCUGGGAGAAUAACACCAGAGUUUACUGUCCUUCCAAUAUAUGGCUUUGGAGGUAUUGGCAAGACAACCUUGGCUCAGUUAGUUUUCAACGAUUCCCAGUUCAUAGACUACUGUAAGGUGUGGGUCUAUGUGUCCCAAAAUCUUGACCUCAAUAAAAUUGGCAACUCUAUAAUAUUACAGUUAUCAGCAGAGAGCCAUGUAGCUGAAAGGCAGAUGAUACAUAAUAAACUUCAGAGUGCUACUUGUUGA
RNAcentral lists this ribosomal RNA (951 nucleotides) under Triticum aestivum (bread wheat). RNAcentral describes it as "partial small subunit ribosomal RNA". Lineage: Eukaryota; Viridiplantae; Streptophyta; Magnoliopsida; Poales; Poaceae. The record is from RNAcentral.